UACGUAGGGUGCAAGCGUUGUUCGGAAUUACUGGGCGUAAAGGGCUCGUAGGCGGCCCUCUCAGUCGGAUGUGAAAUCCCCAGGCUUAACCUGGGAACGGCAUCCGAUACUGGAGGGCUUGAAUUCGGGAGAGGGAUGCAGAAUUCCAGGUGUAGCGGUGAAAUGCGUAGAUAUCUGGAGGAAUACCGGUGGCGAAGGCGGCAUCCUGGACCGAGAUUGACGCUGAGGAGCGAAAGCUAGGGGAGCAAACGGG
RNAcentral lists this ribosomal RNA (253 nucleotides) under uncultured bacterium. Its description in RNAcentral is "partial 16S ribosomal RNA". It matches the Rfam family "Bacterial small subunit ribosomal RNA", at positions 524 to 776 of the family's 1533-position model. The record is from RNAcentral.